Molecule: ribosomal RNA, 395 nt
Filed under: uncultured bacterium
Lineage: Bacteria
Description: partial 16S ribosomal RNA
Rfam family: Bacterial small subunit ribosomal RNA
Source: RNAcentral
AUACGUAGGGUGCAAGCGUUAAUCGGAAUUACUGGGCGUAAAGCGUGCGCAGGCGGUUUUUUAAGACAGAGGUGAAAUCCCCGGGCUCAACCUGGGAACUGCCUUUGUGACUGCAAGGCUAGAGGACGGCAGAGGGGGGUGGAAUUCCGCGUGGAGCAGUGAAAUGCGUAGAUAUGCGGAGGAACACCGAUGGCGAAGGCAAUCCCCUGGGCCUGUACUGACGCUCAUGCACGAAAGCGUGGGGAGCAAACAGGAUUAGAUACCCUGGUAGUCCACGCCCUAAACGAUGUCAACUGGUUGUUGGGUCUUCAUUGACUCAGUAACGAAGCUAACGCGUGAAGUUGACCGCCUGGGGAGUACGGCCGCAAGGUUGAAACUCAAAUGAAUUGACGGGG